RNAcentral lists this ribosomal RNA (255 nucleotides) under uncultured bacterium. RNAcentral describes it as "partial 16S ribosomal RNA". It matches the Rfam family "Bacterial small subunit ribosomal RNA", at positions 524 to 777 of the family's 1533-position model. The record is from RNAcentral.
UACGAAGGGUGCAAACGUUGCUCGGAAUCAUUGGGCGUAAAGCGCACGUAGGCGGCUUCGCAAGUCGGAUGUGAAAUCCCUCGGCUCAACCGAGGACGUGCAUCCGAAACUGCGGAGCUUGAGUACUGAAGAGGAUCGCGGAAUUCCCGGUGUAGAGGUGAAAUUCGUAGAUAUCGGGAGGAACACCAGUGGCGAAGGCGGACGAUCUGGGCAGUUACUGACGCUGAGGUGCGAAAGCGUGGGGAGCAAACAGGG